This 253-nucleotide ribosomal RNA is filed under the name uncultured bacterium. RNAcentral describes it as "partial 16S ribosomal RNA". It matches the Rfam family "Bacterial small subunit ribosomal RNA", at positions 524 to 776 of the family's 1533-position model. The record is from RNAcentral.
UACGUAGGGGGCUAGCGUUGUCCGGAAUCAUUGGGCGUAAAGAGCGUGUAGGCUGCUCGGUAAGUCCGCUGUAAAAGUCAAAGGCUCAACCUUUGAAUGUCAGUGGAUACUGCCGGGCUAGAGUCCGGAAGAGGCGAGUGGAACUCCUGGUGUAGCGGUGGAAUGCGCAGAUAUCGAGAGGAACACCUGCGGCGAAGGCGGGUUGCUGGGCUGACACUGACGCUGAGGCGCGAAAGCCAGGGGAGCGAACGGG